This 271-nucleotide ribosomal RNA is filed under the name uncultured bacterium. Its description in RNAcentral is "partial 16S ribosomal RNA". The record is from RNAcentral.
CUGCUGCCUUCCGUAGGAGUCUGGUCCGUGUCUCAGUACCAGUGUGGGGGACCUUCCUCUCAGAACCCCUACGCAUCGUCGCCUUGGUGGGCCAUUACCCCGCCAACUAGCUAAUGCGCCGCAUGCCCAUCCUCCGCCGGAAUCGCUUCCUUUUAACACCCGUGGGAUGCCCCACAGAUGUACCACGCGGUAUUAGUCCGGAUUUCUCCGGGUUAUCCCCCUGCGGAGGGCAGGUUGCAUACGUGUUACUCACCCGUGCGCCGGUCGCCGG